RNAcentral lists this transfer RNA (71 nucleotides) under Bos taurus (domestic cattle). It matches the Rfam family "tRNA". Rfam says of the family: Transfer RNA (tRNA) molecules are approximately 80 nucleotides in length. Their secondary structure includes four short double-helical elements and three loops (D, anti-codon, and T loops). The record is from Rfam by way of RNAcentral. Lineage: Eukaryota; Metazoa; Chordata; Mammalia; Artiodactyla; Bovidae. RNAcentral also lists the same sequence under 3 other names.
UCCCUCAUAGCUCAGUGGUAAAGAAUCUGCCUGCAGGGCAGAAGACCCGGGUUCGAUUCCUGGGUCGGGAA